RNAcentral lists this ribosomal RNA (335 nucleotides) under Bacteroidota bacterium. Its description in RNAcentral is "bacterial SSU rRNA". It matches the Rfam family "Bacterial small subunit ribosomal RNA", at positions 1 to 333 of the family's 1533-position model. The record is from RNAcentral. Lineage: Bacteria; Pseudomonadati; Bacteroidota.
ACAAUGGAGAGUUUGAUCCUGGCUCAGGAUGAACGCUAGCGGCAGGCUUAAUACAUGCAAGUCGUGGGGCAGCGCGGGUAGCAAUAUCUGGCGGCGACCGGCAAACGGGUGCGGAACACGUACGCAACCUUCCUUCAAGUGGGGGAUAGCCCAGGGAAACUUGGAUUAAUACCCCGUAAUAUUAUGAGGUGGCAUCAUCUUAUAAUUAUAGCUUCGGCGCUUGGAGAUGGGCGUGCGGCUGAUUAGGUAGUUGGCGGGGUAACGGCCCACCAAGCCUGCGAUCAGUAACUGGUGUGAGAGCACGACCAGUCACACGGGCACUGAGACACGGGCCC